This 322-nucleotide ribosomal RNA is filed under the name uncultured eukaryote. RNAcentral describes it as "partial 18S ribosomal RNA". It matches the Rfam family "Eukaryotic small subunit ribosomal RNA", at positions 1470 to 1796 of the family's 1831-position model. The record is from RNAcentral.
CCCUUAGAUGUUCUGGGCCACACGCGUGCUACACUGAGUGGAUCAGCGGGUCAGGUUGCGCGAAAGCGUUUCCUAAUCUUUAAAUCCGCUCGUGAUGGGGAUUGACGGUUGCAAUUUUCUGUCAUGAACGAGGAAUACCUUGUAAGCGCGGGUCAUCAUCCCGCGCUGAAUACGUCCCUGCCCUUUGUACACACCGCCCGUCACUCCUACCGAUUGAGUGGUCCGGUGAGGCUUUGGGAUCUGAGCGGAAAGAGCGUUUCGCUGUUUCUGCUCGGAAAACUCAGUCGAACCUUAUCAUUUAGAGGAAGGAGAAGUCGUAACA